AACGUAGGGGGCCAGCGUUGCUCGGAAUUACUGGGCGUAAAGGGUCCGUAGGCGGUGUGGCAAGUCGGUAGUGAAAUCUCCGGGCUUAACCCGGAGGCUGCUGCCGAAACUGCCGUGCUCGAGUGUGAGAGAGGCGAGUGGAAUUACGGGUGUAGCGGUGAAAUGCGUAGAUAUCCGUAGGAACAUCCGAGGCGAAAGCGGCUCGCUGGAUCACAACUGACGCUGAGGGACGAAAGCUAGGGGAGCAAACAGG
This 253-nucleotide ribosomal RNA is filed under the name uncultured bacterium. RNAcentral describes it as "partial 16S ribosomal RNA". It matches the Rfam family "Bacterial small subunit ribosomal RNA", at positions 524 to 776 of the family's 1533-position model. The record is from RNAcentral.